This 358-nucleotide transfer-messenger RNA is filed under the name Bacteroidota (CFB group bacteria). RNAcentral describes it as "SXSI01 sp005792285 Standard tmRNA". It matches the Rfam family "transfer-messenger RNA". From Rfam's summary of the family: Bacterial tmRNA, also known as 10Sa RNA or SsrA, is named for its dual tRNA and mRNA-like properties. Its role is to liberate the mRNA from a stalled ribosome. Lineage: Bacteria; Pseudomonadati. RNAcentral also lists the same sequence under 2 other names. The record is from RNAcentral.
GGGGGUGUUAUGGCUUCGACGGAUUGGUAGAUUGUUACACAUAAGCAUGCCGUGCGCUCCAGGUGCACGUAAAACAACUGGUAAACAAUAUGUGCUAGCUCAAACUACGCACUUGCUGCUUAAGUAAUUAAGUAGCACAUCAAUGUAUCAAGUGCCUUUCCUUGUUACGGCGGUGUCGACUUUGAAAGGAUUGUUGUAAAGCCGGAUGAGAACUUUACGAUGAAAUUUUAUUCGUCUACUUUGUUGUAGAAUGUUCGACAUGUAUACGACGAAGGAAUUGUAAAAUGUUGGACUGAGCAUGGAGAAAGUCUAAUAAUCUCUUUUUCGGACCGGGGUUCGAUUCCCCGCACCUCCACUU